UAUUUUUAGUAAAGUGGCGCACGGGUGCGUAACACGUAAGCAAUCUACCUUUGGGUCUGGAAUAACUUCGAGAAAUCGAGGCUAAUACCGGAUAAUGCAGCGGCACCGCAUGGUGAUGUUGUUAAAGUUUGAGUAAUGCCUAUAGAUGAGCUUGCGUCUGAUUAGCUAGUUGGUAGGGUAAAGGCCUACCAAGGCUACGAUCAGUAGCUGGUCUGAGAGGAUGAUCAGCCACACUGGAACUGAGACACGGUCCAGACUCC
RNAcentral lists this ribosomal RNA (260 nucleotides) under uncultured bacterium. RNAcentral describes it as "partial 16S ribosomal RNA". It matches the Rfam family "Bacterial small subunit ribosomal RNA", at positions 82 to 339 of the family's 1533-position model. The record is from RNAcentral.